CUAAUCGGUCGCUAAAUCGUUCUCUAGUUUAAAUAAAAGGAAGUUACCGAGUCAAUCUAACCCUAACCUAGCCACGCCAUCCUCACACUUCUCACUAACCCUAAUGUGGCCACUGUCGGAAGCACAACACCCUCUUCAUUUGCGUCGUCGUCACCGUCGCCGCCAUCGUCUAUUGCCUGAAGCCUUCAACCUUCUUUGUCAUUGCUCACCUUCUCUGUCGCUAGCUCAUUGUCUCUCACCUUCUUCUCGCUGUCAAGCUUUUACGAUUUCUCUAAGCUUGAUCUCGAUCUAACUCUAACGAUCUCUCUCACCUUGAUUUCGACCUCACUUUCCGCUGCCGCUUUUAACUCACACCGCCUUUCCUUAUUACUCCAUCACAAGAAUAGAACAAGCAUACAAUUGUUAUCGCAGAACUUUGCUUCUUGUUGUUGCAUAUAAUCUGAGGAAGGACUUGGUGCAGCAUGGAGAAUAUGAGUAUUUUUGUGUGAAUCAGCCUUUGAAAAUGAAAAAUGUAGGGCAAGAGAAAACUAGAUGAAGAUCAAGCAUCAAAGAUGGUGUCACAUGGAUUUAUUUCAAAUUUUGGAUUUUGGAGCAUUGAGAACUUGUCUUCCAUAGAUUUCUGAGAGGAUGAGAUUUCUAAAUUGAAUGUGGAAUGAUAUAUUGAACAACUUUAACAGUAUGUAUGUGUGGUAGUUUUCCUGAAUAUUAAGCAGUAACAAAGGAGCUUCAUUUUGAUUUAUUGAGCAUCUCCCGCCCUCUCUAUCUAUCUUGGAAAAGUUAUUAUGGUUUAUUGUUUUUACUCAUUUAGUGCACUCUGUUUCAUUUUCGUUCUGAUUUUAGUUUGUCACUCUACAGAUUAUUUGUACAAAAUAAUAUAAUUCCUUUCAAUUUUUUCUGGCUGCUGAUGCGUUAAUUGUUAGGCUUUUAAUAUUAUGUGCUAAAUUCAUUGGUGAUAUUGUGUGAUCAUGCAAAGAGAUCUAUGGCAUAGAAUCUGAUUUAAACUUCACCUCCAUUAUGAAUCAACAUUCACUAGAGAUAAUUCUACAAAAAUCACACUGAUUGAUUGUAUUUACUCAGAUUGCAAUGAUGAUGUAGGAUGAUUGACAAAGAGUUCGAGAAAAGUUAAAUGUAGAUGCAACUAGAAAAGGUUUUGGAGAGCUAGCUCUUUGAAGUUGAUAAUGAGAUAAAGAAUACUAGUUCUUCUGCUGCUUGUUAAUAUCGUAAAGUUCACAAGUUUAUUUCAACUACUAAGAGUGAGGGUGCAACAGUUUUAACUGGAGGGUCGGUCUCUUCUUGAAGUAUGAUAUCAUUACACUCUGAUGUUUGCAAUUGGGAAUAUCUUUAAUGAAUUUUCUUUCUUUAAAUUAAUUAAUGACAUUGACAGCACUUAAA
Non-coding RNA from Arachis ipaensis, 1392 nucleotides. The record is from RefSeq and is a predicted model, not a curated record. Lineage: Eukaryota; Viridiplantae; Streptophyta; Magnoliopsida; Fabales; Fabaceae.